RNAcentral lists this ribosomal RNA (219 nucleotides) under uncultured bacterium. RNAcentral describes it as "partial 16S ribosomal RNA". It matches the Rfam family "Bacterial small subunit ribosomal RNA", at positions 523 to 735 of the family's 1533-position model. The record is from RNAcentral.
AUACGUAGGGCGCAAGCGUUGUCCGGAAUUAUUGGGCGUAAAGAGCUCGUAGGCGGUUUGUCGCGUCUGCUGUGAAAGCCCCGGGGCUCAACCCCCGGGUCUGCAGUGGGUACGGGCAGACUAGAGUGCAGUAGGGGAGACUGGAAUUCCUGGGUGUAGGCGGUGAAAAUGCGCAGAUAUCAAGGAGGAACACCGAUGGCGAAGGCAGGUCUCCUGGCU